AAAAACUAUUCUGGCAGUGUGCUUUCAAGAAGGUGCCAAAUAGGAAGAAGUGCAGCGUGAUAGAGUGAGUCAACUAGAAGAGAUAUGAUGUUGUGUUCCUGAGUCACACGUGAAAAACACAGUCUUCUGAGACUUUCAUCUCCUCUUAUGAAGGGCUGCACAUUCUCUUGACCUGAAUUCCUGUUUAGUUCAGGGACUGCACACAGUCAAAACAUUGCUGCAGCAAAUCCUCAGUGCAUAUGCUCUUACUCUGCAUCUGUUUUGUCUUGGCCAAGGGGCAGCUCUCUACAGCUCCUUGCAGCAUCGGCAUUGCCAGGGGUUGUUUAACCUCCUGCUGCUGAAUGUCUCAGCCACAGCAUUUCAUUGCCUCUGCCCCCAAAAUGCUAAAAGAUAAGGACCUGUCCUAUUUCAGGUAUCAGCAUGGGAACAAGAAACACUUAUGGGUAUUUAAUGACUGAUCCGUGAAUAUUCUUAUUCUCUCCAUCAUUCUUCUGUAAAGCACAUUUGCACAGCCUAUCGUACUGCUUAAAAGGACGCCUCCGCCUGCUUAGGGAUAAUUUAUGUGCAAUAAACAGGACAUUUAUAUGGCAUUUAAAUACUAACAUAAACAGUGUAAUGACAUGUCAAUAAGGACUCAGUUUUGUAACUAUUCUAGAAUGCUGAUAAAUUGGAGAUGGAGCUUUAAAAGGGACAGGAACUGAUGGUGCAUAGUCAAAUGUGCUGGGGUGUAAGGAGAUGAGUGAAAGAGUACAAGUGCUUACAGGAGAGGAGAUAUUAACCUUUGGGUAGGACCCAAGCUAGUGAGAAAUAAAAUGCUGCUUUAAAAUGGAGUAUCUGGAGUCCAAGAGACAGUUUUAUGAUACAUGAAGGAUGAGAAAAAAGAAAUGAGGAAGAUAACAACGGAAUAAGUAGAAGUCAAAAAAAAGGCUGCUUGCAAGAGAAGAAAAUGUUUACAUCUCUUAGACAUUUUACCCUGUGGGUUAUCUUGACCUAUGACAGUCUGGCAGACAACGCCACGGAAGGAGGCAGAGCUGUGGUACUGCACGUUCAGAAGAGGCGAAACUUUCUGAAGAACACAGCAUCCUGCACAGUACCAU
RNAcentral lists this long non-coding RNA (1097 nucleotides) under Anser brachyrhynchus (Pink-footed goose). Its description in RNAcentral is "lncRNA (ENSABRG00000020241.1)". The record is from RNAcentral. Lineage: Eukaryota; Metazoa; Chordata; Aves; Anseriformes; Anatidae.